This 253-nucleotide ribosomal RNA is filed under the name uncultured bacterium. Its description in RNAcentral is "partial 16S ribosomal RNA". It matches the Rfam family "Bacterial small subunit ribosomal RNA", at positions 524 to 776 of the family's 1533-position model. The record is from RNAcentral.
AACGUAGGAGGCAAGCGUUAUCCGGAGUUACUGGGCGUAAAGCGCGCGCAGGCGGUGGGGUAAGUGGCUUGUGAAAGCCUCCGGCUAAACCGGGGGAGGUCAGGUCAGACUGCCCGACUGGAGUGAGGUAGAGGAGCGUGGAAUUCGGGGUGGAGCGGUGAAAUGUGUAGAGAUCCCGAGGAACACCAGUGGUGCAAACGGCGCUCUGGGCCUUUACUGACGCUGAGGCGCGAAAGCGUGGGGAGCGAACGGG